RNAcentral lists this ribosomal RNA (324 nucleotides) under uncultured bacterium. RNAcentral's name for it is "bacterial SSU rRNA". It matches the Rfam family "Bacterial small subunit ribosomal RNA", at positions 28 to 334 of the family's 1533-position model. The record is from RNAcentral.
GAUGAACGCUGGCGGCGUGCUUAACACAUGCAAGUCGAACGAAGCACCUUGAUUUGAUUCUUCGGAUGAAGAUUUUGGUGACUGAGUGGCGGACGGGUGAGUAACGCGUGGGUAACCUGCCUCAUACAGGGGGAUAACAGUUAGAAAUGACUGCUAAUACCGCAUGAGACCACAGCACCGCAUGGUGCAGGGGUAAAAACUCCGGUGGUAUGAGAUGGACCCGCGUCUGAUUAGGUAGUUGGUGAGGUAACGGCCCACCAAGCCGACGAUCAGUAGCCGACCUGAGAGGGUGACCGGCCACAUUGGGACUGAGACACGGCCCAG